CCCCUGUGGCCAUCGAGACCCCACCCCCGCCGUUGCGGGGAGGGAGGCGCGGUUGGAUGCCCAGAAGAGAGCCCCACGAACGAGGAAAUGGGCACCGCUGCCUGGAGACCCCCCCAAAACACAACUGUAGCACCCAAGUACGGCAAUGGCCUCCCAGCCAUUCAGCAAGUGCCCUAAAGACGAAGUCCGAAAGGUAGCAAGCAAAGGCUAACCAUGCCAGCCCUCGCUUUAUCGGGGGCUUGGGGGAAAAAAGGUGCCAGGGACUAGUUGACACAGCAAACGCCCUUUGGAAGAAGGCACAGAGCCAGAGCUGGUGGUUCGCGCCUACGUUUCACAUCCCUCUUUCGCCCUAAAUACAUAAAGGCCUCUUCAAAAUACCAGGAAUUCCCAGGGGGAUCACAGCACUCGAGCCAGGAGCGCCCGCGCGGGGCCCUCCGAGCUCCUGCGCCCACCCAGGCCUUUGGCACCGGCAGGGGGCGCUGUGCCUCCACCGCGCCGCGUUGGGCGCAGGCAGGAGAGGAGGGGCGGAGUCGCCGGGCCACCCCGCCCUGCCCAGCCGGGCCCUGCCCGCAGGCCGAGGCGCCCCCGAGCCCGGAUCGCGCAGCCCAACAGUCCGCAAACAAAGCUCAGGUGGUUUCCUGGCCUGCCGGUCGGGCUGAAACCAACAAGGCAGGGGGAAACCCAUUAUUUCUGAGGUCUCGCCUCUGCUUCCACGCCCACCUUCCCCUGCGAUUCUGCGAAGCCUGGGCGCGCCUCGGCGGCUCAUUUUGCAUUUUUAACGGGUUUAAAGCCUCUUGGCAGACCUCGCUUUCCCCAGUAGGUUAGAGCAGGCGAAGCGACACGAUCUCUUCUCUAGGAAAAGAGGCGUGGUGGGUGCCCAGUGUUUGCGAAGCAGCCACCCAUGGCCGACCUCUCGGGUCCACCCAAUCGUGGCUAUCUGCCUGGGUCCGGGCAGCGCCGGGCGGCCCCCCGCGGGUGGUCGAGGCGCCACGCACAAGAACAAUCCCGACCGAAAGGCACGAACCGCCUCUUUUUGACCAUCUGGAAAGGUUCUUAAAGGACCCACCGAGUGUUCCCACCCCACAGAUACCAUUUAAAAAUCAAAUGGAUGUGUAAUUCCACAGACAGCUACGAAUAAAGAUUUAGGACAGUGGGAAAGCCUCAUCAAAAGACUAGAAUCCAGCCACACUCCUCUCCACGAAUGAGCCUUGGGAGCCACCAGGAGGGAAGGAGAGAAAGACACCAAAUAAAUGACCACAACCACAGGUAGAAUUUACCUGUCCGUUCGCUUUGGAAGGCGACGAGGCCACAGCCGCCUCCCCAGGCCUCUCCGCGGCGGCUUCUCCCUUCGCUGCGGUCUUGGAGAACUGGGCACCCAUGCUGGCUUCUUCAACAAAGAAACUCAACAGAUCCAAGAGGGGAAACAAAGAGCCUCGGGUUGGUGUAACGACUGGGCGAGCAGCAGCAGCGGCGGCGGCGGCAACAGCGGCAGCGGCACACACACCGGAGGGAGGGGGGUGGGGGUGGUGGAGAGGACAGAACAGAACCGAUUAAAUACACUCCGGAUAAAAAAAUUUUAGUCGAAGAGAUCAAAAAGCAGCAGCACAGGAGGGAGGGAAAAAGGGUGGAAAAGUCGAGCACAAAAAAAGGAGCCCAAGUGUAGUUCGAAAAAAAAAGAAGUAAUAAAAAAAUCCCAGAUUUGUAGCCGCACUGUAGACAAGAGGAAAA
Pan troglodytes (chimpanzee) is the source of this 1728-nucleotide long non-coding RNA. RefSeq lists it as uncharacterized. The record is from RefSeq and is a predicted model, not a curated record. The transcript is spliced from 2 exons. NCBI's taxonomy places the organism in Eukaryota, Metazoa, Chordata, Mammalia, Primates, Hominidae.